Molecule: ribosomal RNA, 496 nt
Filed under: uncultured bacterium
Lineage: Bacteria
Description: partial 16S ribosomal RNA
Rfam family: Bacterial small subunit ribosomal RNA
Source: RNAcentral
AUGAACGCUAGCGGCGUGCCUAAUACAUGCAAGUCGAGCGAACGGACGAGAAGCUUGCUUCUCUGAUGUUAGCGGCGGACGGGUGAGUAACACGUGGAUAACCUACCUAUAAGACUGGGAUAACUUCGGGAAACCGUAGCUAAUACCGGAUAAUAUUUUGAACCGCAUGGUUCAAAAGUGAAAGACGGUCUUGCUGUCACUUAUAGAUGGAUCCGCGCUGCAUUAGCUAGUUGGUAAGGUAACGGCUUACCAAGGCAACGAUGCAUAGCCGACCUGAGAGGGUGAUCGGCCACACUGGAACUGAGACACGGUCCAGACUCCUACGGGAGGCAGCAGUAGGGAAUCUUCCGCAAUGGGCGAAAGCCUGACGGAGCAACGCCGCGUGAGUGAUGAAGGUCUUCGGAUCGUAAAACUCUGUUAUUAGGGAAGAACAUAUGUGUAAGUAACUGUGCACAUCUUGACGGUACCUAAUCAGAAAGCCACGGCUAACUACGUG